This 335-nucleotide long non-coding RNA is filed under the name Gopherus agassizii (Agassiz's desert tortoise). RNAcentral describes it as "lncRNA (ENSGAGG00000001338.1)". The record is from RNAcentral. Lineage: Eukaryota; Metazoa; Chordata; Testudines; Testudinidae.
AAAGCAUGAGUGUGUGACGCCAACCAUUUGUUUUGCCUUUGUCUUGUGUUCCUACAGGAAAUUCAUUACCCUUAAAAUACUUGACCGUGAGGAGUAUGAGAAAGAGUGCAGUUUCUACCUUGUGCUUGAGGAACCAAUAUGGCUACGAAGAGGAAUGAAAGGUGGCUUCACAAUAACAGGCAAACCUGUCUUCAGGAAGGUCCAUGCAAGAGAACAUCCAAUUCCUUCUACUGUAAUCAGCAUUCAAGGGAAUGCAGCGUUUCUCUGUGCCAGUGGAAUUCUGUGCUUGAGUGGAGUUGGCCUAAGUGACUUCAGCAUCUUCAUUUGACUUCUUG